This 363-nucleotide unclassified non-coding RNA is filed under the name uncultured bacterium. RNAcentral's name for it is "contains 16S-23S intergenic spacer region". The record is from RNAcentral.
UCCCCGUUACCGGGGCAGUCUGAAUAGAAAAAUACAACUAUUCACAAGGGUUGCGCUCGUUGAUGGACUUAACCAAACAUCUCACGACACGAGCUGACGACGGCCAUGCAACAGCUGUCACUUGGCUCAAUAAAGCACUCACUACUUUCGUAGUAAUUCCAAGGAUGUCAAACCCUGGUAAGGUUCAUCGGUUAUCAUCGAAUUAAAGAACAUAAUCCACCGCUUGUGCGGCUCCCCGUCAAUUCCUUUAUGUUUUAGUCUUGCGACCGUACUCCACAGGCGGGAUACUUAACGCGUUAGCUUCGACACUGAGAGCCUAGUUGCUCCCAACGUCCAGUUCGCAUCGUUUAGGGCGUGGACUAC